GAAAUUGAUAGAUGAGGUAAGAGAUGGAGAUUUAACCUAUCAUAUAACACGAAAAUUUAACCUAUUAAAUAUUGAAGGUGGGGAUCGAAUCCACGAGUCCACAGAAUGAAGGGGUUUAAAAUUGGCUCUGAUACUAUGUAGUCUAAAAGAUCGAUCUUUUGGACAACAAUACUAUGUAAUCUAACAGUGCGAUCUUUUGGUUAUAAAUUUUAUGCAAACUAAAUGAUUAAUCUUAAAGGGUAAUAUGGUAACACAACCAAUUAUGAAUCUCUUCAUUCUUUGUGAUCGUAGAUUUGAUCCCUACCUUCAACAUUUAACAGGUUAAAUAUGAUGGAUUAAAUCUCUUAUUUUACCUCAUCUAUUGAUUCCACGUCUUUUUCAUAUUCGUCAUACAUAUGAAUGGGGGUGUUAAUGUGUGUUCUUCACAUUAUAAUUCUAGGUCGUUUCCUGCUAGAUAAAUCUUUUGGGUAACAUAGGUAAAAAUAUAUCUUUUGGGAAUGUCAAUAUAGCUAUUUUACAAUUCAACUAAGUUUAGGUUAAGAAUAUAUAUUAACACCACCAUUCAUUUGCAUGAUGGAUAUGAACGAUACAUGGAAUCGAUAGGUGAGGUAAGAGUUGAAGAUUUGACCUAUCAUAUAAUACAUAAAUCUAACCUGAUAAAUGUUGAUGGUGGGGAUCGAACUUACGACCUCACAGAAUAAAGGAGUUUAGAAUUGGUUUUGAUACCUAGUAACCUAAAAGAUCAUUUUUUAGGUAACAAUUCUAUGUAACCUAAAUGAUCAUGCAUGAUGAAAUAGCUAGAAAUAUAUAUAAACAUUCUUAUUGACAUGCAUGAGGAAUAUGAAAGACACGUGAAAUUAAUAGGUGAGGUAAUAGAUGGAAAUUUAACCCAUCAUAUAAUAUAAAAAUUUAACAUAUUAAAUGUUGAAGGUAGAGGGAAUAGGGGGUGGAUUCAUUGGAAUUGAUGGUGAGGUAAAAGAUCGAGAUUUUACCCAUCAUAUAAUACCAAAAUUUGGCGUGUUAAAUAUUAAAGGUGGGGAUCGAAGCCAUGACCUCACAGAACAAAAGGGUUUAAAAUGGCUCUGAUACUAUGUAAACUAAAAGAUUGAUCUUUUUCGUAACAAUACAAUGUAACCUAAAUGAUCAAUCUUUUAGGGUAAUAUGGUAUCGAAGCCAAUUCUAAAUCCUUUCAUUCUGUGAGGUCGUAUGUUCGAUCCCCACUUUCAACAUUUAUCAGGUUAAAUAUGAUGGAUUAAAUCCCCAUCUCUUACCUCAUCUAUUAAGUACACGUGUCUUUAAUAUCUAUCAUGUGCAUGUAUUGGGGUGUUAAUUAUAUUCCUUGGCCUAUAUUUCUUGGCUGUUUCCUACCAGAUUGAUCUUUUGGAUAACAUAGAUAAAAUAUAUCUAUUGAGCAUAGUCCAUUUAGCUAUUUUACUAUUCAACUAAGCUUAGGUUAAGAAUAUAUAUUUGCGCCCAUGAUUCACAUGUAUGAUGGAUAUGAAAGACAUAUGAAAUCGAUUUGUGAGGUAAGAAUUGGAGAUUUAACCUAUCAUAUAGUAUGGAAAGCUAGCUUGUUAAAUGUUGAAUGUGGGGAUCGAACCUAUGACCUUAUAGAAUAGAGGAGUUUAGAAUUGUCUCUGAUUCCAUGUAACCUAAAAAAUUGAUCUUUUUGGUAUCAAUACCAUGUAACCUAAAUGAUCAUGCAUGAAGAACUAGCUAGGAAUAUAUAUAUAUAUAUAUAUGUAUAUAUAUAUAUAUAUAUGUAUAUAUAUAUAUAUAUAUGUAUAUUCAGGCCUGGAAUAGCUAUCAUACACACCAAUACAGUUGGUUGCUUAUUAGUUUUUUAGCCUUUGAUUGAAAAACUUGCGCUUAGGAGAUUGGCCCCUAGGAUUGAAGUGGGUGUUGGUUGGGUUGAUAUAUAUAACUCAUAACGGUAAAAAAUAAUAUAGGGUUUAAAUCUACUUAACGGUGAAAUCUGCGAUAAAACCCAACCUUUGUGCUAUCGAUAGUAUCCCUGGCUGGACUCAUAUAUAAUAUAUAUUAUAGUUAAUAUAUUAUUUUAUUAAUUAUAUAAUACUAUAAGACUUCCAUUCACAUGCGUAAUGAAUGUAAAAACCACGUGGAUCGAUUGGUGAGGUAGGAUAUGAAGAUUUAACCCUUAAUAUAGUACAAAAAAUUAAUCUAUUAAAUAUUAAAGGUAGGGGGUAGGGGGCCAAAAAUUUAUAUUAACACCCCUAAUAUAUGUGCAUGAUGAAUAUGAAAGAUAUGUGGAAUCGAUGAGUAAGGUAAGAGAUGGAGAUUUAACCCAUCAUAUAAUAUGAAAAUUUAACCUGUUAAAUACUUAAGGUGAGGAUCAAACCUACGAUCUCACAAAAUGAAGGGGUUUAGAAUUGGCUUUGAUACACCAUGUAACCUAAGAGAUUGAUCUUUUGGGUAACAAUACUAUGAAACCUACAAGAUCGAUUAUUUGGGUAAUAAUACCAUGUAAACAUAAAUGAUCGAUCUUUUGGGUAACAUGGUAUCAGAGUCAAUUCUAAUCCCUUCAUUCUUUGAGGUCGCGGUUUGGAUCCCCACGUUUAACAUUUAAUUGGUUAAAUAUGAUGGGUUAAAUUCUCAUCUUUUACCUCAUCGAUCAAUUUCACGUGUCUUUCAUAUACAUCAUGCAUAUGAAUAAGGGUGUUGAUGUAUAUUCUUGGUCCUAUAUUUCUUGGCAUUUUCCUAGUAGAUCAAUCUUUUGGGUAACAUAGGUAAAGAUAUAUCUUCUGAGUAUAGUCAAUUUAGCUAUUUUACAAUUCAACUAAGCUUAAGUUAAGAAUAUAUAUUAACACUCCCAUUCACCUGCACGAUGGAUAUGAAGACAUGUGGAAUCGAUUGAUGAGGUAAGAGUUAGAGAUUUAACCAAUUAUAUAAUAAGGAAAUCUAACCUAUUAAAUGUUGAAGGUGGGGAUCGAACUUACGACCUUAUUGAACGAAGGAGUUUAUAAUUGACUCUCAUAUCCUAUAACCUAGAAGAUCGAUCUUUUAGGUAACAAUACUAUAUAAUCUAAAUGAUCGACAUAAUAAACUGGCCAGAUAUAUAUAUAAACAACCUCAUUUUUGUUCAUGAUGAAUAUAAAAGACACGUGAAAUCGAUAGGUGAGGUAAGAGAUGGAGAUUUAACCUAUUAUAUAAUAUAGAAUUUUAACCUAUUCAGAAUGAAGGAGUUUAGAAUUGGCUCUGAUACCAUGUUACUUAAAAAAUCGAUUUUUGGGUAACAAUACCAUCAAUCAUUUGGUGGUAACAUGCUAUUAGAGCCUACUUUAAAUGAGGUCCUGGGUUCGAUCCCCUCCUUCAACAUUUAAAAGGUUAAAUAUAAUGGGUUAAAUCUCCACCUCUUACCUUAUCUAUCGAUUUCAUGUGCUUGUUAUAUCUAUCAUG
RNAcentral lists this long non-coding RNA (3417 nucleotides) under Ananas comosus (pineapple). RNAcentral describes it as "long non-coding RNA (ACOM_LNC007346)". Lineage: Eukaryota; Viridiplantae; Streptophyta; Magnoliopsida; Poales; Bromeliaceae. The record is from RNAcentral.